This 302-nucleotide ribosomal RNA is filed under the name uncultured bacterium. RNAcentral's name for it is "bacterial SSU rRNA". It matches the Rfam family "Bacterial small subunit ribosomal RNA", at positions 1067 to 1375 of the family's 1533-position model. The record is from RNAcentral.
GUGGGAUGUUGGGUUAAGUCCCGCAACGAGCGCAACCCUUGUCAUUAGUUGCUACGAAAGGGCACUCUAAUGAGACUGCCGGUGACAAACCGGAGGAAGGUGGGGAUGACGUCAAGUCCUCAUGGCCCUUAUAGGUGGGGCUACACACGUCAUACAAUGGCCGGUACAAAGGGCUGCCAACCCGCGAGGGGGAGCUAAUCCCAUAAAACCGGUCGUAGUCCGGAUCGCAGUCUGCAACUCGACUGCGUGAAGUCGGAAUCGCUAGUAAUCGUGGAUCAGAAUGUCACGGUGAAUACGUUCCC